Molecule: ribosomal RNA, 497 nt
Filed under: uncultured bacterium
Lineage: Bacteria
Description: partial 16S ribosomal RNA
Rfam family: Bacterial small subunit ribosomal RNA
Source: RNAcentral
GAUGAACGCUGGCGGCGUGCCUAAUACAUGCAAGUCGAGCGAACGGACGCGACGCUUGCUUCUCUGAUGUUAGCGACGGACGGGUAAGUAACACGUGGUUAACCUACCUCUAAGACUUAGAUAACUGCGAGAAACCGUAGCUCCUACCGGGUACUAUUUUGAGCCGCAUGGUUCAAAAGUGAAUGACGUUCUUGAUGUCACCUCUAGCUAGAUCCUCGCUGCAUUAGCUAUUUGGUAACGUAACGGCUUACCAAGGCAACGAUGCAUAGCCGACCUGAGAGCGUGUACGGCGACACUGGAACUGGGACACGGCCCAGAGUCCUACGGGCGGCAGCAGUAGCGAAUCUUCCGCAAAGGGCGGAAUCCUGAACGAGCAACGCCGCGUGGGUGAUGAAGGUCCGCGGGUCGUAAAACGCUGUUAUUAGGGAAGACUACAUGCGUAAGUAACUGAGCACAUCUUGACGGUACCUAGUCAGAAAGCCACGGCUAACUACGUG